Lynx canadensis (Canada lynx) is the source of this 102-nucleotide long non-coding RNA. RefSeq lists it as uncharacterized. The transcript is spliced from 3 exons. The record is from RefSeq and is a predicted model, not a curated record. NCBI's taxonomy places the organism in Eukaryota, Metazoa, Chordata, Mammalia, Carnivora, Felidae.
CAUAAAAACUGGGAAAGAAGAAGUCAAACUUUCACUAUCUGCAGAAGACAUGACACUCUAUGUAGAAACCCUAAAAGACUCCACCAAAAAAUCGCCAGAACU